AGCAUUAGUUUGCAAUGAUGUGAUGGAGGUGGAUUUAUAUAAAACUGCUCCCUGAUUUUUAUACGCCCGUCAAUUUUUGACGGGACGUAUUAUGGUAUACAAAUGUCCAGUGUCCGUCAUUCUGUCCGUCUGUCUGUCCGGCAUAAAACAUGUCGCACCGUAACUUGAGAAUGACGUAUCCAAAUUUCAUGAAACUUAACAUAGUUGUUUCUUAUGAUGGUCAAACGAUCUGUAUACUUUUUGGUGAAAAUAAGAUUAAAAGUUUUUUAGUUUCGGGACUCAGUAACUAAAACAGGUGUGUGUUUUUUUUCACAUGUCGCACCGUAUCUCAAAAACAAUUUAUGAUUAUUGCUUAAAAUUUUACACACUUCUUAGUUAUAUUAAUCUUAAGAUCUGUAUACUUUUUGGUGAUGAUUCAAAAUUUUAUUUUUGAGUUAUUGAGUAUUUUGUAAAAAAAGGGAAGGGGUUUUUCACAUGUCCCGCCGUAUCUCAAAAACGAUUUAUGAUUAUUGCUUAAAAUUUUACACACUUCUUAGUUAUAUUAAUCUUAAGAUCUGUAUACUUUUUGGUUUUGAUUCAAAAUUUUAUUUUUGAGAUAUUGAUUUUUUUUUUUUAAAAGGGGGGUUUUCACAUGUCGCGCCGUAUCUCAAAAACGAUUUAUGAUUAUUGCUUAAAAUUUUACACACUUCUUAGUUAUAUUAAUCUAAAGAUCUGUAUACUUUUUGGUUUUGAUUCAAAAUUUUAUUUUAGAGAUAUUGAGUAUUUUGUUAAAAAAGGGGGAGGGGUUUUUCACAUGUCGCGCCGUAUCUCAAAAACAGUUUAUGAUUAUUGCUUAAAACUUUACACACUUCUUAGUUAUAUUAACCUCAAGAUCUGUAUACUUUUUGGUGAUGAUUCAAAAUUUUAUUUUUGAGUUAUUGAGUAUUUUGUAAAAAAAGGGGGAGGGGUUUUUCACAUGUCGCGCUGUAUCUCAAAAACGAUUUAUGAUUAUUGCUUAAAAUUUUACACACUUCUUAGUUAUAUUAAUCUAAAGAUCUGUAUACUUUUUGGUUUUGAUUCAAAAUUUUAUUUUA
Mytilus californianus (California mussel) is the source of this 1073-nucleotide long non-coding RNA. RefSeq lists it as uncharacterized. The record is from RefSeq and is a predicted model, not a curated record. The transcript has 2 exons. NCBI's taxonomy places the organism in Eukaryota, Metazoa, Mollusca, Bivalvia, Mytilida, Mytilidae.